GAAAUGCGAUAAGUAAUGUGAAUUGCAGAGUUUUGUGAAUCAUCGAAUCUUUGAACGCACAUUGCGCCCCUCGGUAUUCCGACGGGCAUGCCUGUCCGAGCGUCAUUACGCACCCUCAAGCCCGGCUUGUGUGAUGGGCCCUGGCGUCUCGUUCGCGAGACGGGCCCGAAAGGCAGCGGCGGCGUCGACCCGAUGAGCCCGAGCGUAUGGGGACUUUUGUCACACGUUUGCGGUGCGGACCGGCGCCUGCUUGACUUUUCUGAUUAUCCAGGUUGACCUCGGAUCAGGUAGGGAUACCCGCUGAACUUAAGC
RNAcentral lists this unclassified non-coding RNA (312 nucleotides) under plant metagenome. Its description in RNAcentral is "partial contains 5.8S ribosomal RNA, internal transcribed spacer 2, and large subunit ribosomal RNA". The stretch from base 1 to 105 matches the Rfam family "5.8S ribosomal RNA", at positions 50 to 154 of the family's 154-position model. The record is from RNAcentral.